GACGAACGCUGGCGGCGUGCCUAACACAUGCAAGUCGAGCGGGAACCUCAGGAGGGGUAACCCUCCUGAGGGGAGAGCGGCGAACGGGUGAGUAACACGUGGGCAACCUGCCCCGGACACCGGGAUAACCCAGGGAAACCUGAGCUAAUACCGGAUACUCCGGCGCGAUCGCAUGGUCGCGCCGGGAAAGCUCCGACGGUCCGGGAUGGGCCCGCGGCCUAUCAGCUUGUUGGUGGGGUAACGGCCCACCAAGGCGACGACGGGUAGCUGGUCUGAGAGGACGGCCAGCCACACUGGGACUGAGACACGGCCCAGACUCCUACGGGAGGCAGCAGUGGGGAAUCUUGCACAAUGGGCGCAAGCCUGAUGCAGCGACGCCGCGUGGGGGAUGAAGGCCUUCGGGUUGUAAACUCCUUUCGCCAUUGACGAAGCCCUUUGGGGUGACGGUAGGUGGAGAAGAAGCACCGGCUAACUACGUGCCAGCAGCCGCAGUAAAAC
Molecule: ribosomal RNA, 498 nt
Filed under: uncultured bacterium
Lineage: Bacteria
Description: bacterial SSU rRNA
Rfam family: Bacterial small subunit ribosomal RNA
Source: RNAcentral